GAUGAACGCUGGCGGCGUGCCUAAUACAUGCAAGUCGAGCGAACGGACGAGAAGCUUGCUUCUCUGAUGUUAGCGGCGGGCGGGUGAAUAACACGUGGAUAACCUACCUAUAAGAGUGGGAUAACUUCGGGACACCGGAGAUAACAGCGGAUGAUCUUUUGAACCACAGGGGUCAAAAGAGAAAGACGGUCUUGGGGGCAGGUAUAGCUGGUUACGCGCUGCAUUAGAUAGUUGGUAAGGUAAAGGGCUACCAAGGCAACGAUGCGUAGCCGACGUGAGAGGGUGAUAGGCCACAUUGGAAGUGAGACACGGUCCAGACUCCUACGGGAGGCAGCAGUCGGGAAUCGUCGGCAAUGGGCGAAAGCCUGACGGAGUAAGGCCGCGUGAGUGAUGAAGGUCUUGCGAUCGUAAAACUGUGUUACUAGGGAAGAACAUAUUUGUCAGUAACUGUGCACAGCUUGACGGUACCUAAUCAGAAAGCACCGGCUAACUACGUG
Molecule: ribosomal RNA, 497 nt
Filed under: uncultured bacterium
Lineage: Bacteria
Description: partial 16S ribosomal RNA
Rfam family: Bacterial small subunit ribosomal RNA
Source: RNAcentral